UACGUAGGGUGCAAGCGUUAAUCGGAAUUACUGGGCGUAAAGGGCGUGUAGGCGGUUUGUUAAGUCAUGUGUGAAAUCCCUCGGCUCAACCGGGGAAGGACGCAUGAAACUGGCAAGCUAGAGUACCAAAGAGGGGGGUGGAAUUCCCGGUGUAGCGGUGAAAUGCGUAGAUAUCGGGAGGAACGCCUGUGGCGAAGGCGGCCCCCUGGUUGGAUACUGACGCUGAUACGCGAAAGCGUGGGGAGCAAACAGG
RNAcentral lists this ribosomal RNA (253 nucleotides) under uncultured bacterium. RNAcentral's name for it is "partial 16S ribosomal RNA". It matches the Rfam family "Bacterial small subunit ribosomal RNA", at positions 524 to 776 of the family's 1533-position model. The record is from RNAcentral.